This is a non-coding RNA of Oncorhynchus mykiss (rainbow trout), 1482 nucleotides long. The record is from RefSeq and is a predicted model, not a curated record. NCBI's taxonomy places the organism in Eukaryota, Metazoa, Chordata, Actinopteri, Salmoniformes, Salmonidae.
UCUCAUUAAGUGUUUGAUUUAGAUUUCCAAAUACAUUUGCAUUGAUGUCAUAGUUGAUUAGAGGGACAAUAGAGUGCUGAGUACCAGGCAGUUAGCACGUUUUGUAGGCCACUAAUGACCAGCAGCAGCAUCAGAGUUUGGAGAAGACUAAUUACUGUUACUAAAUGGUAAUUUGACUGCCUUCAUGACUCGUGACCGCCGGUGUGGCGGUAUGUGUGCAACAAUGGAGUUUCUGUUAGUGUGUUUCUUAUGUAGAUCCAUACUAGUCCUCCGGCCUGUUCGUUGGAGAGGGUGAUGGCUGCCUCUGCUGCUGCUGGCUCAGAUAGAGGAGAGAGAUGAGGUCCACUGCCCUCAAAAAACACUGAAGGAAAGGAGCGAAGAUGAGGAAGAGGAGGGGGGGAGAAAGGGAUUCAGAUGGAUAUAUCGCAGGCGCUCUAUGAACCGCACAUUGACAAGCAAACAGAAUCCAGCAUGCUUUGACCAGAACCAGGCACAAAAUACUAGUUUGGACCAGAUUCAGGACGGGCUCCAGUUACUUCAGCCGUCAGAACGCCCUACAGGGUGCAAGGAGCGCAGAGAGAGGCGGAGUCAGACGGUGAACCUGCUGCGCCUAAAGAAGGCGGAGACACAGAGCAGGGCUAGCCUGCGGACCAGUGGCUCCAGUAAUCUGCACAAGAACAAGGACCCGAGGACCGACAACAAGGCUGUCUUUCAAAAUGGAGACUCUAAAGAAUCAGAGGAAAAGGUAGAAUGACGUUCCAGAAUUAAGUGUGGCCAUAUUACAUCGGCAAGGGAUCACAGCAGUCUGAGAGACGUGUGUGGCUGGAACACGAGGAGUGUGCUCUGGAGAGGAGCUGGAGGAGGAGCUGAGGUGCAGAGAAAGGUGCUGCGGCACCGAGAGGCCUGUGUCCAGGUGAGGAACCAGCUGCAGAUCAAGAAGCUUCGCUCCAGCCAGGCUCUGAGAGUCAGGACUUGCUGCGCAUGUCGGCCCGUCUGGGAGAUCUGGAUCAGGAGCUUGAGGAGAGAGGAGGGGUAGAGAGGCGACUGUCCCCCUCUGCAGCAGGGCUGUGUGGAGUGUCCGCGGAGGAGCUGCUGAAGGAGAGAGAGAGGGCCUGCGUCAGAGGAGGGACGGCAGGGUGCUCACGCCAGAGGAGGAGCAUGCUCUGCUGCAGUCGGAGGAGGUCUUGGAGGCUCUGGAUGCUGCAGUAGAGUUUAAGAACUAUUCCAUCCGGGAGAGACAGAGAGACCUCGGGGACACGGAGACGACCACAAUGACGUCAUGAGGGCCCCGAAAGAGCUGUCGCUUCCAGAGGCCUCGGCACUGUUGGUCAAAUACUUCAACAAGGUGCUGUGUCUGCGGGAGUCUGAGCGGCGGCUGCAGCUGCAGAGUGGCGAGCAGGAGGCGGUGACCAGGGAGAUGGAGGCAGCUCUACAGCACCUCACUCUGGACACAGAACACCGGCUCACUGAGCAGCAUCAAGA